AUGAUUUCUGGGCAAGGAGCUCGGCUUCUGACGGAGGAGCCGGUCUGGCGGGACUGCCUGGAUGAAGUGUGCUGGGACACGCAGGGCCGGGCCGGUAGUCCCCGCCAUUGGCGAGGCGUGGGGAAGUCCUCCCGCAAGGUUUAAGGACUCAUGAGGUUAUACUGGGCCCACCUAGGUAAUCCAGGACCUGGUGCUAUUACAUAACAAGUUUGCUUUAACCAAUUAAGUUUGAUGAUGCAGUAUACUGACUAGAGUUUUUCAGGCAUUUGCUAGUCCCUUCUGAGGUCAGGCAGCUUGCACUAUGGCACAUGAAGAAUAUUCAGAUACUUCAUAUCCUGCAGGAGAAGGGAGACAGCAUGACAAAUUCUGCUGCCACUAACUGAAAGUAGUUUAUCACUUUAUCUUUAGAAGGUCUAAUGACAAAACUUCAAGGAGAGAAUAUAUAGUCCAGUCUGGGUUUAAGCCUGGAGUUUGGAUGUCUAAGAUGACUCUGAGCGGAUGUGGAUUCACGUGUUAGUACCUGAAAGUGGGCACAGCCCCCACCUUGGAAUGAAUGUACACUUCCAAAGGACUCAUUUCCACAGGGUGGUGGAAGGAACAACAGAGACAGCUAUGUGCCCACACGCUCAGCCAUCUGCCGUUCCAACCACAUGUCUCUCCCCCCGUUUCCUGCAAAUGAUUCAUCUAUUCUUUUUCCCCUUCUUCAAAGAUAACUCUGUAGGCAUUUAAGGAGGGGAAAGUCAUUAAGAAAAGUGGAAUCUGGAGUUAUUAGAAUGAGAUAGAGCAGACUAAACAGUGUAAUUUCACAAAGCAAACAGCACAGGGUGUGGACUCUGGGCCCGUCCGUCUCUGUCCGGCUGGUGCAUCAUUUCACAGUUUAUCGUCCUUCAUGAACAGGUCAACAAAAAUGGCCACAUGUAAACAUGAGCAUAUGAGUUGCUAAAGAGAAAGACCACAGCGGAAGUCAGGAGGAUUCUGGAUUUUCCAACUGGAGCCUCUGUGCAUUUUAUUCAGCAUCCUAUGUAGCGUCUGUCACUAAAAGUGAAACCAAAGGUUUUACACCAAUGAAUGGGAUCUUUGUGACUUUUUCCAAUAAGCAGACCAAAAAGCUGCCAUUAAAAUCAUGCUUUUAAAGGAGAUCCUGAACAACAGAGAAGAUGAUUAUGGCCAUGUCCUCAACACUAAGGGGUGCUGGUGGCAAUAUACUGUGUGGGAAAGGCCUGUGUAUGUCCACAAGGAGGUGCUUGGUGGGUGUUUGUUCAAUUGCAUCAAGCUGGAGCCAGAUGGGACUCAGUUCAAAUCCUGGCUCUGCUUUCAGCUUCUGGGACAUUAGGCAAGUUGCUAAACCUCUGGAGUUAGGUGAUAAAGACACUUCCUCACAGGGUAGAAUAAGGAUUGGAGGAUAAUAUACAUGAAGUACUUUGUGUGGUCUUUGGAAAGAGGUAGAUAGGCAAAUAUCAGGUGAAUACACAUAUUCCUUAUAAUUUCACUUCAGUUUCUACUACAUCCCACACCCUGAGGCUAGCAGGUAAAGAGCUCUAAGGAGAAUGAAGAGGCCUCUGGCCCAUUCUAAUGUGGCCUCUCCCAUCAGGAGGGAAAAGGCAAAUAUUGCAUGGGACCUGGCAAUAGGAUUGAAUGGGCCAUAAGUGAAGUCUGAUAGCAUCCUUACAGCCCUUAACAGCCACUGUAUCCCUUGUGGCAAGUGAAAGACCCCAGAAGUGAGGAAUCUUAUUGCUGAGUAGAGCCAACAAAUCCCAGAUCAGACAGAGUUCUUAAAGAUUCUAAUAUGUUGCUAGUAUUGUCUCAUCUGUAAAAUGGGUGUUAAAAUAGCAUUCACCUCUUGGGUUGUGAAGAUGAAAGAAGAGAAUCUAUGUAAAGGAUUGAGCACAGGGCCUGGGACAGUUAGUGAUACAUACAUGUUGGCUACUGUUACUAUUUUGUAUUCCAUGUUCAAUCUACGGUAUUGAUUAACCUGUUUAUUGAUUGAUGGCUUUUCAUUUAGUAAAUGAAUUUUCAAUAAAUGAUUUUUCACUUAA
This is a non-coding RNA of Callithrix jacchus (white-tufted-ear marmoset), 2036 nucleotides long. The record is from RefSeq and is a predicted model, not a curated record. Lineage: Eukaryota; Metazoa; Chordata; Mammalia; Primates; Cebidae.